CUGGCGGCGUGCCUAACACAUGCAAGUCGAGCGAUGAAAUCCUUCGGGAUGGAUUAGCGGCGGACGGGUGAGUAACACGUGGGUAACCUGCCUUGUAGAGGGGAUAGCCUUCCGAAAGGAAGAUUAAUACCGCAUAACAUCUUUUUAUCGCAUGGUAGAAAGAUCAAAGGAGUAAUCCGCUACAAGAUGGACCCGCGGCGCAUUAGCUAGUUGGUGAGGUAACGGCUCACCAAGGCGACGAUGCGUAGCCGACCUGAGAGGGUGAUCGGCCACAUUGGAACUGAGACACGGUCCAGACUCCUACGGGAGGCAGCAGUGGGGAAUAUUGCGCAAUGGGGGGAAACCCUGACGCAGCAACGCCGCGUGAAUGAAGAAGGCCUUAGGGUUGUAAAGUUCUGUUUACGGGGACGAUAAUGACGGUACCCGUGGAGGAAGCCACGGCUAACUACGUGCCAGCCGCGGC
Molecule: ribosomal RNA, 463 nt
Filed under: uncultured bacterium
Lineage: Bacteria
Description: bacterial SSU rRNA
Rfam family: Bacterial small subunit ribosomal RNA
Source: RNAcentral